Molecule: ribosomal RNA, 200 nt
Filed under: uncultured bacterium
Lineage: Bacteria
Description: partial 16S ribosomal RNA
Rfam family: Bacterial small subunit ribosomal RNA
Source: RNAcentral
GAUGAACGCUAGCGGCAGGCUUAACACAUGCAAGUCGAGGGGUAUGGUUCUUUGGAACCAGAGACCGGCGCACGGGUGCGUAACGCGUAUGCAAUCUACCUUUUUACAGAGGGAUAGCCCAGAGAAAUUUGGAUUAAUACCUCAUAGUAUAGCUCUACCGCAUGGUAGUACUAUUAAAGUCACAACGGUAAAAGAUGAGC